Molecule: ribosomal RNA, 497 nt
Filed under: uncultured bacterium
Lineage: Bacteria
Description: partial 16S ribosomal RNA
Rfam family: Bacterial small subunit ribosomal RNA
Source: RNAcentral
GAUGAACGCUGGCGGCGUGCCUAAUACAUGCAAGUCGAGCGAACAGAUGAGGAGCUUGCUCCUCUGACGUUAGCGGCGGACGGGUGAGUAACACGUGGAUAACCUACCUAUAAGACUGGGAUAACUUCGGGAAACCGGCGCUAAUACCGGAUAAUAUAUUGAACCGCAUGGUUCAAUAGUGAAAGACGGCUUUGCUGUCACUUAUAGAUGGAUCCGGGCUGCAUUAGCUAGUUGGUAGGGUAACGGCUUAUCAAGGCAACGAUGCGUAGCCGACCUGAGAGAGUGAUCGGCCACAUUGGAGCUGAGACACGGUCCAGACUCCUACGGGAGGCAGCAGUAGGGAAUCUUCCGCAAUGGGCGAAAGCCUGACGGAGCAGCGCCGCGUGAGUGAUGAAGGUCUUCGGAUCGUAAAACUCUGUUAUUAGGGAAGAACAAAUGUGUAAGGAACUAUGCACGUCUUGACGGUACCUAAUCAGAAAGCCACGGCUAACUACGUG